CUAAACACUCCCCAGCUGGAUAUAAAACUGAAUUAUUAAAAAAAUAAUUAUACAACGCACAAAAUAUGCUGUUACUAAUUAGAUAUUUGAUUGACGACAGUCUUGUUUGAGAGUUUCUGUGGAUCAUAGUCUUCUGUCUUUAUUUGAAAAAUCAAUUGUUAAAUAAUAUAUCAAACUAUGAGUUCGCCAUCAUUGAAUGUAUUUUGUCCAAAACAUUGAGAUUCUGAAGCACCAAUAUCAGAUAUUACAGAGAUCUUAUCAGAAAAUGACACUUAAAAAUUUCUACAUAUCAUAUGAAUUUGGCAAAUCAGGGUUUACCAAAGUGAAGGAUUUGGCCGGAGCAACGCUUGCAAAAACCAACUUGGUUAAAUUGUCAGGAGAUACCCUAUUGCUGCUUUAUGGAGCUAUGGACGUAUAAACUAAUGACAUUCAAAUUUUCUAGAUUAUAUUUAUAUAAUUAUAUACAUUUUUUUUUCGGAUAUAUAGUGAACGCCUAGUUUGUCGACAAGAGCACCGAACAAAAUUGGAUAGAUUUCUACCUAUAGACAACUGGUAAACAGUAAAAGAAGGACGUUUCACCAAAAGUUUACGCGUGCAACGAUUGAGAUCAGUGGCGUCUGCAGGGGGGGGGCUAAUGGGCUGAAGCCCCCCCCCCCCAUUGCCAUAUUUUUAUUACUUUUUCAAAAAUAUU
Long non-coding RNA from Acyrthosiphon pisum (pea aphid), 691 nucleotides. RefSeq lists it as uncharacterized. The record is from RefSeq and is a predicted model, not a curated record. Lineage: Eukaryota; Metazoa; Arthropoda; Insecta; Hemiptera; Aphididae. The transcript is spliced from 5 exons.